GAAGCGUUCUCCAGGAUGGCCGGCAGCCUCUUCUCCAGCGGCAGCAGCAGCAGCAGCAGCGGCAGCGUCCGCUCCGCCCUGGUGCUGGGCCGCGCGCCGCCCCGGAACUACGGCUCCCUGCUCACCUACCAGUUCCUCAAGAGCGCCCGCACGCUGGGGAUCCACCAGGCUCUUAGCCACAGUGAAUCCAUGGUGUCUUUCUCUCAUCGUACCCUAGUAAAUUACAUCAGGGAUGAAAAUCUCCAUGCACUUCAGGGCUUUCUGGAGAACAAGCGGGCUGUGGUUGAUGAUAGGGACGAGAACGGAGCUACCGCUUUACAUGUAGCAGCUGCCAAAGGAAAGCUUCAGUUUGUACGAGAGUUGAUAAGCCAUGGAGCUGAUGUCAAUGCCGAAGACAAUGAUCAAUGGUGUUCCCUUUUAUGUGCUGCAAAAGAAGGCUACUCUGAUGUAUGCAUUGAGCUUCUUGACAAUGGGGCAGACAUUGAACACAAAGACAUGGGAGGCUGGACAGCUCUCAUGUGGGCAUCGUACAAAGGCAAAGAAGAGGUUGUGGAUGUGUUGUUGGAACGUGGAGCAGAUGUUAAUGCCUGUGGCAACUUCCACAUCCCUUCCCUUCUCUGGGCUGCUGGUCGUGGACAUACUGAGAUAGCACUAAAACUGAUCCAGGCGGGUGCCAAAAUCAACUUUGGUGAUAAGUAUGGUACAACAGCUCUGGUUUGGGCAUGCCGGAAGGGAGAUGCCUCUAUUGUGAGAGUAAUUCUUAAUGCUGGUGCAAAUGUGGAUACUGCUGGCAUGUAUUCCUGGACACCAUUGCUUGUAGCUACUAUGGGAAAUCAUUUAGAGAUUGUCAAUUUAAUUUUGGAACAUAAACCCAAUGUGAAUGCUCUUGAUAAAGAUGGCCACACUGCCCUUACAAUAGCCUGUAAAGAAGGAUUCCUUGAAAUAGCACAAGCGCUUUUGAAUUAUGGUGCUUACAUCAAUAUUCAGGAUCGUAUGGGUGAUACCACUCUUAUCCAUGCUGUAAAAGGUGGUCAUAGGAGUGUUGUAGAAGCUUUGCUCAAAAAAUAUGCUGAUGUUGACAUUCCAGGAAAGGAGAAGAAGACUGCCACAUAUACUGCUGUAGAAAAAGGACACAUUCCUAUUUUGAAGCUUCUGUUAAACGCCAACCCAGACCUGGAAAUUCAGACAAAGGAUGGAGAUACUGCACUUCUUAGAGCAGUUCGUUCAAGAAAUUCUGAGGCUGUGCAACUUUUGCUUGACAAAAAGGCAAAAGUUAGUGCUGCUGACAAACGUGGAGACACAGCAUUACACAUUGCAAUGCGUGCUCGCUCGAAAGCUGUAGUUGAGGUUCUCCUUCGUAAUCCAAAGCACUCUCAAUUGCUAUAUCGCCCAAAUAGAGCGGGAGAAACACCAUAUAACAUUGAUAUGAGUCAUGAUAAAACAAUUUUAGGACAAAUUUUUGGAGCUCGGCGCCUCAACACCAACGAAGAUAAUGAAAACAUGCUCGGCUAUGAUCUGUACAGCAGUGCCUUAGCAGACAUCCUUAGUGAACCAUCUCUAUCUAUGCCUAUUACUGUAGGAUUGUAUGCAAAGUGGGGUAGUGGUAAAUCGUUCUUACUGAAUAAAUUGAGAGAGGAGAUGCAGAAUUUUGCUCGUCAAUGGGUAGAUCCUGUUUUUCAAUUUACUUGGAUACUUCUCUUGGUAGUCACUCACAUCUCAUUAAUAGUUGGUUUAGUUUUUGGUCUGAUCAGUUCAAGUUGGAUCUUGGGCCUUUCAGUAGGGACAUCUAUUUUUAUUAUUUCAUAUUCUCUUGCCAUCUUAAUUUGGUACAGUGGGAAGCGGUAUGAUUGGAGGUGGGCUUAUUUAGCUCAUCUCUACUUCACAAAGAAAUUUGACUCCUUGAGGUUGGUCCUUCAAAUGAUGUUUUGCCAUCCUCCUGGAAUCCACAGCGAUGAUGUAUUGGCUGCCCAUCCCAUCAGAUUUUAUUUUACUGAUCAGACUCGUAUGAGUUCUACUACUGGAGGAGAAAGUUCUGUUGUUCAAAUGUUAGGGUCUUUGUAUGAUGCCAUAGAGAAAGAUUUUGGAGGUUUGCCAACUCGUCUUUACCGUGCUUUCCGACCCAAAAUAAUCAAAAGUUCGUCAUCAUGGAGAUUGAGGAAGUUAUGUUGUGUUCCGUAUGUUGUAAUUUGUGAAAUAAUGUUUCUUGCCAUUGUUGUGGGCACCAUAGUUCUUGCACUAUACAUUCGAAAAGAUCAAAGAAUUGAAAAGGCAGUGGCUGAAGUCAUCCUAAUAACCAUUGGUCUAAUCGCGAUAAUGGCUAUUGUAUCCAAUUUAUAUACCUGGGGCAGAAUGCUUGGAGCAUUAGUAUUUUCUCAGAGGCGUCAACUGCAGCGCUCUAUCACCAGGGUUGAAACUCUACGCUCAGAAGGUUUUCUUCAGGCUGUGCGUCAGGAAGUUACAUUCAUGACUGAUAUGAUAAAAUGUUUGGAUGGAUUUUGCCAACAACAAAGUAGAUUGGUGGUCGUCGUUGAUGGCCUUGAUGCUUGUGAGCAAGACAAGGUUGUCUUAGUGCUUGAUGCUGUCCAUCUUCUCUUCUCUGAUGCUAACUCUCCCUACAUUGUCAUACUGGCCAUUGAUCCUCAUGUUGUUUCAAAGGUGGCAAGCGAGGAGGUCAGUGCGGUGGAACUGAGCAGCAGACGUUUAUUUACUGAGUCCAACAUAGGAGGACACGAUUAUUUACGCAACAUGGUGCAUUUACCAUUUUACCUUCAAAACUCUGGUUUGCGAAAUGUGAAGGUAGCACAAACAGCAGCAAUGCAGCAUCGAAAGUCGCAGCCAGGUUUUGAAUCCAGUGAUGAUGGUUUCUUAGGUUAUGCAUCGCACAACCAGGCAUCUCGGAGGCUAUCAACUGAAUCAGGCAUGAGUAGCACAGAACGCCUCAAAACUAUUCCUAAGAAAGGACGUAAACUGAAACUUAGUGAAAGUGUUGCCAGUAGUCUGGGCAGCAAUUUGAAUAGAAUUGGAGGUGCCCAUGACCUCACCAAAAUGCUCCUUACCGAUGACUACUUCAGUGAUGUGACUCCCCGCAGUAUGCGUCGGCUUAUGAAUGUUGUUUAUAUCACAGGCCGUUUACUGAAAGCAUUCCAAAUUGACUUUAACUGGUACCAUCUUGCAAAUUGGGUUAAUAUUACUGAGCAGUGGCCAUUCCGUACUUCUUGGAUUAUACUUUACUAUGAAAUGAUGGAUGAAAAUUUAGAUGACAACACAUCUCUAAAAACGAUUUAUGACAAAGUGCGUCCUCAAAUUCCUAUGUCAAAAGAUGUUGUUCCUCUCCUGGACUUGGACAGAGAUGAGAAAAAGUUUGAUAUCUUCCUUACAUUUCAUCGCAACAACCUACUUGUCAGUGAUCUGAAAGUGUUCCUGCCGUUUACUAUCAAUUUGGAUCCAUACUUGAAAAAAGUUAUCAAAGAAGAACAACAAAGUGCAGAAGAAUCCACUGCAGGAUUAAUGAUGUUCCCUCCGAGCAUUACAAAUCCUAUAUCAAAUCAGCAACCAUUGAUGAUGUCUCACAAUACUCCAUGGGCUGCGCAGAAUAAGACGCCAAACUCAGUUAAAAAGGAUGAUCUUAGUACUAAUCUAUAUUUUCGACCCCUUUUGCGCAGUUCGACUAUACAAGGUCCUCCCAGCCAGAUGUACCAGUCUCCGCACUCGCUUAUGGGCUGGGGAGGCAACAAUUGGUUAGGCUUGCAGGAUGUGUCUCUCAUGUCUGCAAUGUCAUCGCCCUCCCCUCUGUAUCAGCAGCGCCUUCCUUCAAUCACACUCACAGCAGAUGUGGCUGACAUGAAACUGUCAGAGUUGUCUGUUGAUGGUGUAUGCCAGAUGUUCUCCAAAAUCCCUGAUAUAAAUUCAUCACAAGUUGCACGAUACACAAGCAUAAUUAAGGAACACAACAUCAAUGGAAGAGUUUUGCUGCAUUGUGAUUUGGAUGAGCUCAAGAAGGUGCUGAAGAUGAGCUUUGGAGAUUGGGAGCUGUUCCGAAUGCUAGCUGUUGCUUUAAGAGAACGGGAGAUGACCUCCUUCAGCCAAGUAGAUGAAACCAAUGCCAACAAAAAUGUACGGUUUUCUGUGCCCAGCAUCCAAGCUACUGGCCCUCCACAGGACCGUGAAAGAGAAAGACGACCCUCUGCUUCGAAGAUGGCUCCUUCUGACAAGGAUGGAAUUGCUCUUCGUGCAAAGCCCAGUAUCAUGGAAAAACAAUAUCAGGUGACGCUUGAGGAGCAGAUGAUCUGUGGCGCGUUGCAAACCUUGAAUGAGGAAGCUUGUGAGGAUGUCUUGGAUGAAUCUAUUGAAACUAAACGAAGACUCAGUGUUGUCAGCAAUGCCCAAGAUCCAGCUGUUGGCUGUACAUAGCCUUCGCGCAUGCUGCUUUUCUGAAGCACUUUGGAGUUUUCCGCACUCUUCUGACCUAUUUUGCCCGCCUGGGACAUCGUGUACGAAGCGUAAGCCAAUGCAGUAGCUUGAUGGAUAGAGAGGAGACCGAGGUAGUGAUGCUUCAGUCCUCACCACUACAUCCAUAUCACUGGCAGGCAGUGGCC
Molecule: unclassified non-coding RNA, 4595 nt
Filed under: Thrips palmi
Lineage: Eukaryota; Metazoa; Arthropoda; Insecta; Thysanoptera; Thripidae
Description: kinase D-interacting substrate of 220 kDa B, transcript variant X9
Source: RNAcentral